This 592-nucleotide long non-coding RNA is filed under the name Volvox carteri. RNAcentral describes it as "long non-coding RNA (VCAR_LNC004193)". The record is from RNAcentral. Lineage: Eukaryota; Viridiplantae; Chlorophyta; Chlorophyceae; Chlamydomonadales; Volvocaceae.
CGUUUUCUUCCCCUUUGGGGAACCUUCGUCUCCCCGAAGGGGAACACCCCUUCGUUUUCUUCCCCGAAGGGGAACCCAAAGUCUCCGUCCCCUUUAGGGGAAGAAGGGGAACACCCCCUUUGGUUCCCCUAAAGGGGACGAACACUAAAGGGGACAGACAACCCCUUUGGAACCCCAAAGGUUGUUCCCCUAAAGGGGAUGGGAACCAAAGGGUUGUCUUCCCCUAAAGGGGAACAAACUUUGGAAACCCUUUAGGGGAUGAACUAAAGGUAAUGACAACCCUUUGGGGGGGGGGAACCUUUGGUUCUUUGGGUUCCCCCUUCGGGGUUGUCUUCAUCCCCUUUAGUGCUCUUCUUCUUCCCCUUUAGGGGAAGAACCCCAAAGUCUUCGUCCCCUUUAGGGGAACCAAAGGGGAACACUAAAGUGUUCUUCUUCCCCUUUAGGGGAACUAAAGGGGAACCCCCUUUAGUUCCCCUAAAGAAGAUGAACCAAAGGGGUUCCCCUUCGGGGAUGACGUAGGGGUGUUUCCCUUCUUCCCCUAAAGGGGACGGAGACUUUGGGUUCCCCUUCGGGGAAGAAAACGAAGGGGAAC